AUUGGACGCUGGCGGCAGGCCUAACACAUGCAAGUCGAGCGGAUGAAGGGAGCUUGCUCCUGGAUUCAGCGGCGGACGGGUGAGUAAUGCCUAGGAAUCUGCCUGGUAGUGGGGGAUAACGUCCGGAAACGGGCGCUAAUACCGCAUACGUCCUGAGGGAGAAAGUGGGGGAUCUUCGGACCUCACGCUAUCAGAUGAGCCUAGGUCGGAUUAGCUAGUUGGUGAGGUAAAGGCCUACCAAGGCGACGAUCCGUAACUGGUCUGAGAGGAUGAUCAGUCACACUGGAACUGAGACACGGUCCAGACUCCUACGGGAGGCAGCAGCGGGGAAUAUUGGACAAUGGGCGAAAGCCUGAUCCAGCCAUGCCGCGUGUGUGAAGAAGGUCUUCGGAUUGUAAAGCACUUUAAGUUGGGAGGAAGGGCAGUAAGUUAAUACCUUGCUGUUUUGACGUUACCAACAGAAUAAGCACCGGCUAACUUCGUG
RNAcentral lists this ribosomal RNA (484 nucleotides) under uncultured bacterium. RNAcentral describes it as "partial 16S ribosomal RNA". It matches the Rfam family "Bacterial small subunit ribosomal RNA", at positions 30 to 507 of the family's 1533-position model. The record is from RNAcentral.